Regulatory RNA element from Pelobacter sp., 47 nucleotides. It matches the Rfam family "Moco-II RNA". The record is from Rfam. NCBI's taxonomy places the organism in Bacteria, Pseudomonadati, Thermodesulfobacteriota, Desulfuromonadia, Desulfuromonadales, Desulfuromonadaceae.
UAGCGCCUAUUUCGUCCUCUGCCCAUGGCAGACUUAACGAAACCCGC